RNAcentral lists this ribosomal RNA (499 nucleotides) under uncultured bacterium. RNAcentral's name for it is "bacterial SSU rRNA". It matches the Rfam family "Bacterial small subunit ribosomal RNA", at positions 29 to 507 of the family's 1533-position model. The record is from RNAcentral.
ACGAACGCUGGCGGCGUGCCUAAUACAUGCAAGUCGAGCGGAAUGAUGAAGAAGCUUGCUUCUUCUGAUUUUAGCGGCGGACGGGUGAGUAACACGUGGGCAACCUACCUUGUAGAUUGGGAUAACUCCGGGAAACCGGGGCUAAUACCGAAUAAUCCAUUUUGCUUCAUGGCGAGAUGUUGAAAGACGGUUUCGGCUGUCACUACAAGAUGGGCCCGCGGCGCAUUAGCUAGUUGGUAGGGUAAUGGCCUACCAAGGCGACGAUGCGUAGCCGACCUGAGAGGGUGAUCGGCCACACUGGGACUGAGACACGGCCCAGACUCCUACGGGAGGCAGCAGUAGGGAAUCUUCCACAAUGGACGAAAGUCUGAUGGAGCAACGCCGCGUGAGUGAAGAAGGUUUUCGGAUCGUAAAACUCUGUUGUAAGGGAAGAACACGUACGAGAGUAACUGCUCGUACCUUGACGAUACCUUAUUAGAAAGCCACGGCUAACUACGUG